Molecule: ribosomal RNA, 253 nt
Filed under: uncultured bacterium
Lineage: Bacteria
Description: partial 16S ribosomal RNA
Rfam family: Bacterial small subunit ribosomal RNA
Source: RNAcentral
UACGAAGGGGUCUAGCGUUGCUCGGAAUUACUGGGCGUAAAGGGCGCGUAGGCGGAUAUUUAAGUUAGAGGUGAAAGCCCAGGGCUCAACCCUGGAAUAGCCUUUAAUACUGGAUAUCUUGAGUUCGGGAGAGGUGAGUGGAACUCCGAGUGUAGAGGUGAAAUUCGUAGAUAUUCGGAAGAACACCAGUGGCGAAGGCGACUCACUGGCCCGAUACUGACGCUGAGGCGCGAAAGCGUGGGGAGCAAACAGG